Long non-coding RNA from Musa acuminata AAA Group (dessert banana), 1756 nucleotides. RefSeq lists it as uncharacterized. The record is from RefSeq and is a predicted model, not a curated record. The transcript is spliced from 5 exons. NCBI's taxonomy places the organism in Eukaryota, Viridiplantae, Streptophyta, Magnoliopsida, Zingiberales, Musaceae.
CGGCACCGGUUGCUCGCGAUACGCCCCUGUGUCCGCCGCUCUGGAACCCUCCCCUGCAUUCCUUUUCUUUGUUUCGCUUCGCCCUCUGCUUCGAUCUUUUCCCCUUUUUGUUCCGUUUUCUGACGCAGAUUCCUUUUCGUGUUCUUUCUUUGUUCCAUGUUCUUGUUUGAUCUUGUGACGUAGCGUCGUUGGUCUGUUUUUUAUUGUUCUUUUUCGAAUCUUUUCUUGUUCCGACGCAGAUUCCUUUUCGUGUUCUUUCUUUGUUCCAUAUACUUGUUCGAUCUUGUGACGCAGGGUCGUUGGCCCGAUUUUUCUUGUUCUUGUUCGAAUCUUUUGGCGCAGAUUUCUCUUCCUGUUCUUUCUUCUUCUUGUUCGAUCUUUGACGCAGGUCCUUCUCGUGAUUUAUUCCUGUUCUAUUCGACCAUUUGGCGCAGAUUCUAAGGUCCCGCAGAUCGGAAGAGACGGCGAGGUUCUUGAGGGAUUCAGAUGGCGGUGGCGUCGAGGCUGGUUCUUGAUGGGAACCCGAUCAGGCCAGCCACGAUCUGUUUGAUCGGGGCCGGGAGUUCAUCGGAUCCCACCUAUGCGAGAAACUGAUGGCGGUGACGCUCCACGGCGACAAGAUCAAGCAACUCCUUGGUCCGCCGCCAGAGGGGUAGCAGUAGGCGCGCACCACCCUUGGGACUUCCAGAUCCACUUCCACCGCCUCAUCAUCAAGCACGUCUCCAUCUGGUUUUCCUUCCCCUUUUCAAGAUCCUGUUUCGGAUACCCUGCAUUGCCUCCAUGUCCCGCUCUACCAUUUGAUCUUUUCUUAGUGAACUAUUCUCUUUCUCGACGCGUCGUCUAAUUCUUUGAGCGGAUCCGCAUUCCUGGCACCACGUUUUCUUUGUUGCACGAGAAAUCCAAAUCUUGAAUUAGUUCUUGUGCACAACUUCUUUUCCCAUAGAGAUGACCAACGUAACUAACUGCAUUGACGCUCGUCCAGUUGGAAGCUGUGGGAUUUCUUGGUCCCUUCUCUUACAUUUAGGUUUUACCGUGGCUUAUUUAUUUUGUGAUUGCUUGACGUUUGGUGGUUGUUCAGGUCAUGUAUUGCUUAGAUAGCGACAAGCGCCUGAUUCGCUUCACCACUUGUGAAGUCUAUGGGACAGAAACUGGAAGCCUCCUUUCCAAGGAUCACCCUCUAAGAAAGGGACCAAAAUUCUAUGUACUUCACGGAGAUGCUUCCUGAUCCAUUUCUAGGCCUAUUGAGAAGCAGAGAUGAUCUUAUGCAUGUGAAAAUCAACAAAGUCUGAUAUAUGACCAUCUAAAGCUGAGGGUGCAGAGCAUUGUCUGGAGUUCACCAUUGUGAGCCAUGGCGAGGGUUUUCCCAGAAUUUGGCAUGAUUCAGCAAUGUGCCUGUGAGGGACGUGCGAGUCUCAAGGAAUUCUGUGGUAAAGGAUAUGUGGACAGUGAUAAGCAGAUUGCCAACGUGAUCGUAAUCAUUAAGGAACUUUGGUUGGAACGCGCAAGACAUACCUGUGGGACAUUCUGGAAUUGACACUGAUCUAUUGGCAGCCAACAAGAGAGGGUGCGUCGGUCCGCAAAAAGCAUUCUGUUAUCUUUUCCGUUGAUUAGCGUCGAUGAUUCAAAUCCUGUUGACUCGUUGUUGUGUCCUCUGGAAGUGGUUUUAUAUGCCAUGUUACCGGUGUGGUAUUACCCAUGGCCCGCCACAUAUAGAGAGCAUUCUGUUCCAUGUUCUAUUAUCCAUCUGCUAAUUCAU